GAUGAACGCUGGCGGCGUGCCUAAUACAUGCAAGUCGAGCGAACAGACGAGGAGCUUGCUCCUCUGACGUUAGCGGCGGACGGGUGAGUAACACGUGGAUAACCUACCUAUAAGACUGGGAUAACUUCGGGAAACCGGAGCUAAUACCGGAUAAUAUAUUGAACCGCAUGGUUCAAUAGUGAAAGACGGUUUUGCUGUCACUUAUAGAUGGAUCCGCGCCGCAUUAGCUAGUUGGUAAGGUAACGGCUUACCAAGGCGACGAUGCGUAGCCGACCUGAGAGGGUGAUCGGCCACACUGGAACUGAGACACGGUCCAGACUCCUACGGGAGGCAGCAGUGGAAUCUUCCGCAAUGGGCGAAAGCCUGACGGAGCAACGCCGCGUGAGUGAUGAAGGUCUUCGGAUCGUAAAACUCUGUUAUUAGGGAAGAACAAAUGUGUAAGUAACUAUGCACGUCUUGACGGUACCUAAUCAGAAAGCCACGGCUAACUACGUG
RNAcentral lists this ribosomal RNA (495 nucleotides) under uncultured bacterium. RNAcentral's name for it is "partial 16S ribosomal RNA". It matches the Rfam family "Bacterial small subunit ribosomal RNA", at positions 28 to 507 of the family's 1533-position model. The record is from RNAcentral.